UGGGGAAUCUUGGACAAUGGGGGCAACCCUGAUCCAGCCAUGCCGCGUGAGCGAUGAAGGCCUUAGGGUUGUAAAGCUCUUUCAGCGGGGAAGAUAAUGACGGUACCCGCAGAAGAAGCCCCGGCUAACUCCGUGCCAGCAGCCGCGGUAAUACGGAGGGGGCUAGCGUUGUUCGGAAUUACUGGGCGUAAAGCGCACGUAGGCGGACCAGCAAGUUGGGGGUGAAAUCCCGGGGCUCAACCCCGGAACUGCCUUCAAAACUGUUGGUCUGGAGGUCGAGAGAGGUGAGUGGAAUUCCGAGUGUAGAGGUGAAAUUCGUAGAUAUUCGGAGGAACACCAGUGGCGAAGGCGGCUCACUGGCUCGAUACUGACGCUGAGGUGCGAAAGCGUGGGGAGCAAACA
This 402-nucleotide ribosomal RNA is filed under the name uncultured Alphaproteobacteria bacterium. RNAcentral describes it as "bacterial SSU rRNA". It matches the Rfam family "Bacterial small subunit ribosomal RNA", at positions 355 to 774 of the family's 1533-position model. The record is from RNAcentral. Lineage: Bacteria; Pseudomonadati; Pseudomonadota; Alphaproteobacteria.